AUAAAAGAAUAAUUGAACAUUUGGGCGAUUACGUUAGAACGUGUCUUCCAAAUAUUUUUCUCCACCUUGACAGCUUCACGCAUCUUUACAAACAGAAAACCAGUUCCCUAAAUUGUAACCGCCCGCAUUUCACAUAGUGACCAGCGGAAGGCGACAGCACGGUGCCUAAAAACGACGUACUGUAUUGUGCAUUGAUGGCAUGGUUGCCAAUUCACUUUUCAUUUUUGUAGUGUGAAAUUGAAACAACAAUUUCCAGGGUACACCAGAGCCGUCAUGGCGGGUCACCAGGCGGCGUUAGCGUGCAAAGCGCCGUCCGGCAAGCAGGAGAAGAAGAUCGGUUUAAAUUGACGGAAGUGACGUCACAGAUCAA
Molecule: long non-coding RNA, 370 nt
Organism: Syngnathus acus (greater pipefish)
Lineage: Eukaryota; Metazoa; Chordata; Actinopteri; Syngnathiformes; Syngnathidae
Exons: 3
Source: RefSeq, a predicted model, not a curated record